RNAcentral lists this long non-coding RNA (476 nucleotides) under Elaeis guineensis (African oil palm). RNAcentral's name for it is "long non-coding RNA (EGUI_LNC061323)". The record is from RNAcentral. Lineage: Eukaryota; Viridiplantae; Streptophyta; Magnoliopsida; Arecales; Arecaceae.
UGGGGGGAGAAAUACCAUCAGUCCUUCGUCGAAGGGUGACGCUUGAAGGUAUAAAAAUGCCUAAACAAAGAAAGGGAUGGCUGAACUUCGACUACGUGGUAAAGGGAAAGAAACCUAUCAAAAACCUAAAGGAAUUCGGAGCAACUGAAGCCAAAGAGAUAUCUAAGAAGCGGAAAAGGGCGACAACAAAGGGCGGAAGCGGAAGCCGGAGUCCGGCACGGAACACCUCCUGAUACACGCAGAAACGAUCGGGUGGGGGAGUGCUAGCCCGGUCGGAGGGGCCAGAAAGCUCCAGGUCGUACUCCGGAGGAACUCCGUACUGAACCCUUAUCAGUAGGAGUUCAUCCGGAGUCAGGGAGCAGGGAAUGGCACUCGGCGCAAAAAUCGGGCGAAGCCCAGUCCCAAGUGUGGGUUAGUCUAUAGAAUGGGGGUCCUGGGGGGCUGAGGCGGAAGAACUCCCGGAACCGCUAGAGGCA